GGGGCCUACGGGAGGCAGCAGUGGGGAAUAUUGCACAAUGGGCGCAAGCCUGAUGCAGCAACGCCGCGUGAGGGACGAAGGCCUUCGGGUUGUAAACCUCUUUUAGCAGGGAAGAAGCGAAAGUGACGGUACCUGCAGAAAAAGCACCGGCUAACUACGUGCCAGCAGCCGCGGUAAUACGUAGGGUGCAAGCGUUGUCCGGAAUUAUUGGGCGUAAAGAGCUCGUAGGCGGUUUGUCACGUCUGCUGUGAAAUUUCGAGGCUCAACCUCGAACUUGCAGUGGGUACGGGCAGGCUAGAGUGCGGUAGGGGAGAUGGGAAUUCCUGGUGUAGCGGUGGAAUGCGCAGAUAUCAGGAGGAACACCAAUGGCGAAGGCACAUCUCUGGGCCGUAACUGACGCUGAGGAGCGAAAGCGUGGGGAGCAAACAGGAUUAGAUACCCUGGUAGUCCACGCCGUAAACGGUGGGUGCUAGCUGUGGGCCACAUUCCACGUGGUCCGUGACGAAGUUAACACAUUAAGUACCCCGCCUGGGGAGUACGGCCGCAAGGCUAAAACUCAAAGGAAUUGACGGGG
RNAcentral lists this ribosomal RNA (574 nucleotides) under uncultured Aquiluna sp. RNAcentral describes it as "bacterial SSU rRNA". It matches the Rfam family "Bacterial small subunit ribosomal RNA", at positions 334 to 918 of the family's 1533-position model. The record is from RNAcentral. Lineage: Bacteria; Bacillati; Actinomycetota; Actinomycetes; Micrococcales; Microbacteriaceae.